CCUACGGGAGACAGCAGUGAGGAAUAUUGGUCAAUGGGCGCGAGCCUGAACCAGCCAAGUAGCGUGAAGGAUGACUGCCCUACGGGUUGUAAACUUCUUUUAUAAAGGAAUAAAGUGAGGCACGUGUGCCUUUUUGUAUGUACUUUAUGAAUAAGGAUCGGCUAACUCCGUGCCAUCAGCCGCGUUAAUACGGAGGAUCCGAGCGUUAUCCGGCAUUAUUGGGUUUAAAGGGAGCGUAGAUGGGUUGUUAAGUCAGUUGUGAAAGUUUGCGGCUCAACCGUAAAAUUGCAAUUGAUACUGGCAGUCUUGAGUACAGUUGAGGUAGGCGGAAUUCGUGGUGUAGCGGUGAAAUGCUUAGAUAUCACGAAGAACUCCGAUUGCGAAGGCAGCUUACUAAACUGCCACUGACAUUGAUGCUCGAAAGUGUGGGUAUCAAACAGGAUUAGAUACCCCGGUAGUC
Molecule: ribosomal RNA, 460 nt
Filed under: uncultured bacterium
Lineage: Bacteria
Description: partial 16S ribosomal RNA
Rfam family: Bacterial small subunit ribosomal RNA
Source: RNAcentral